This is a long non-coding RNA of Triticum urartu, 630 nucleotides long. RefSeq lists it as uncharacterized. NCBI's taxonomy places the organism in Eukaryota, Viridiplantae, Streptophyta, Magnoliopsida, Poales, Poaceae. The record is from RefSeq and is a predicted model, not a curated record.
CGGAUGGAUUCAUGUGAAAAGAAGAAACUGAUGGAUUUAUGACUCCCUCCUCAUGAAGGGUAAUCGACCUAGUGGCUCUCCCUUUUAAGCACUGGAGUUGAUCCCUUCCCGUCACUCGCCUGCCCGGGUUCUCAUCACAGUCUUCUCCUCGAGGCGUCCGCUGAUUCCGCCCCGCUUGCUAGAGCUUACCCCUUGUCUUCUCAACCACGAGUUGGCAGCCAGUACAAAUGGACGACCGAAGCAACAGAACGCCGCCUAAUUAUGGAAAAAAUAAUCCGCCAUGUUCUACCGCCGUUUCAAGAAGAGAAGCUCAAAAGAAAUACAAGGAUGCAAUUGCAAAGAUGAAGGGCACAAAAGACCCGACGUUUAUAACUUUCAAACAGGUGUCCAAGCCUCAACACAUCGCUAACCAACUGUCUGGUCACCAUCCAUUAUCAUCUAUGGGAUAUAUCGUGGAGUAUGAAAAGAAUGGGAUACCAUAUAUUCAGGUUGUAGUAACUCAAGAAGGCCCACAACAAAUAUAUUGAGUAAGAAUAUGGUACAUGCUAUCAUACAGCAUAUGGUUCAUGCUACAAAUAGCAGGCUUUAUCCUCCAAUACAUACCAGCAAUAAAUUUUAGUCAUUGUAUGU